Non-coding RNA from Brachypodium distachyon (stiff brome), 135 nucleotides. The record is from Rfam. NCBI's taxonomy places the organism in Eukaryota, Viridiplantae, Streptophyta, Magnoliopsida, Poales, Poaceae.
CAUAUACUUUCUCCGUCCAACAAAGAAUGUCUCAAUUUUAGAAAAUUUGAAUGCAUCUAUACAUUAAGUCAUAUCUAGAUACAUCCAAAUUUUAUCAAACUUGAGACAUCCUUUGUUAGACGGAGGGAGUAGUAU